CGAGGACGAACGCUGGCGGCGUGCCUAACACAUGCAAGUCGAACGGAAGUUAGAGCUUCGGUUUUAACUUUAGUGGCGAACGGGUGAGUAACGCGUGAAGGACCUGCCUUUCAGUGGGGGACAACAGUUGGAAACGACUGCUAAUACCGCAUGAAACUUCGAGAGGGCAUCCUCUUGAAGUCAAAGCUUUAUGUGCUGAAAGAUGGCUUCGCGUCUGAUUAGCUAGUUGGUGGGGUAACGGCCCACCAAGGCGACGAUCAGUAGCCGGUCUGAGAGGAUGAACGGCCACAUUGGGACUGAGAUACGGCCCAGACUCCUACGGGAGGCAGCAGUGGGGAAUAUUGGGCAAUGGGCGAAAGCCUGACCCAGCAACGCCGCGUGAAGGAAGAAGGCCUUCGGGUUGUAAACUUCUUUUACCAGGGACGAAGAACGUGACGGUACCUGGAGAAAAAGCCACGGCUAACUACGUG
This 470-nucleotide ribosomal RNA is filed under the name uncultured bacterium. RNAcentral's name for it is "bacterial SSU rRNA". It matches the Rfam family "Bacterial small subunit ribosomal RNA", at positions 26 to 507 of the family's 1533-position model. The record is from RNAcentral.